Molecule: long non-coding RNA, 587 nt
Filed under: Homo sapiens (human)
Lineage: Eukaryota; Metazoa; Chordata; Mammalia; Primates; Hominidae
Description: HSALNT0298209
Source: RNAcentral
GUUUCCAUUCGUUGAGAGAAAAACACAUGUUUUGGAGUUACAUUCUUUGAAUGGGAUGUGAAGAUUCAUAUUGAGAUAGAAGGCUGCAUAUUUCAUCUGUUAACUUAGCUGCUGUUGACUCAUCUGCACCCAAGAGUGUACACACGGGUAUUAAAUGUGAGCAGAGCUUUGCUUUGACAUCAAAAGUGUCAUCAAAUGAAGAUGAGGUCAUGCUGGAUGAUGGUGGGCCCUCAAUCCAAUAUGAGUAGUGUUCAUUAAAGAAGAAAAAAAAUUGGACCUAAAGAUACAGAAAAACAGGAAGAAGACCACAUGAUGAUGGGGGCAGAAAUUGGAGUGUGCAGCUCCAAAUCAAGGAACACCAAGGAUUGCUGCUGCCACCGGAAGCCAGGGGAGAAGCAUGGAAUGGGUUCUGCCUGAGACCCUCCAGAAGGACCCAAUCCUAUCAUCAUCUUGAUUUCAGACUUCUGGCCUCCUGAACUACAAAAGAAUAAAUUUCUGUUGUUUUAAACCACCUGGUUUAAGGUACAUUUUUUAUGGCAGCCUGAGGAACUAACACAAUUUGUGAGUGCUGGUAUGUGCUAAAGAGA